RNAcentral lists this ribosomal RNA (591 nucleotides) under Hyphessobrycon reticulatus. RNAcentral describes it as "partial 16S large subunit ribosomal RNA". It matches the Rfam family "Bacterial large subunit ribosomal RNA", at positions 1808 to 2609 of the family's 2925-position model. The record is from RNAcentral. Lineage: Eukaryota; Metazoa; Chordata; Actinopteri; Characiformes; Acestrorhamphidae.
CAAAAACAUCGCCUCCUGCAAAAAUCAAUGUAUAAGAGGUCCUACCUGCCCAGUGACUUAGUUAAACGGCCGCGGUAUUUUGACCGUGCAAAGGUAGCGCAAUCACUUGUUUUUUAAAUAAAGACCUGUAUGAAUGGUGAAACGAGGGCUUAACUGUCUCCCCUCUCUGAUCAGUGAAAUUGAUCUACCCGUGCAGAAGCGGGUAUAAAUAUACAAGACGAGAAGACCCUAUGGAGCUUAAGACAUAAAAUCAACUAUGUUAAAAACCCCUAAUUAAAGGAAUAAAACAAAAUAAUUACUGAUUAACGUCUUCGGUUGGGGCGACCGCGGGGGAAAACAAAUCCCCCAUGUGGAAUGGGAAAUUUCCUAAAACCACGAGGCACACCUCUAAGUCACAGAACUUCUGACCUAAAGAUCCGGUAUUUAACCGAUCAACGAACCAAGUUACCCUAGGGAUAACAGCGCAAUCCCCUCCAAGAGUCCAUAUCGACAAGGGGGUUUACGACCUCGAUGUUGGAUCAGGACAUCCUAAUGGUGCAGCCGCUAUUAAGGGUUCGUUUGUUCAACGAUUAAAGUCCUACGUGAUCUGAG